RNAcentral lists this non-coding RNA (26 nucleotides) under Cricetulus griseus (Chinese hamster). The record is from RNAcentral. Lineage: Eukaryota; Metazoa; Chordata; Mammalia; Rodentia; Cricetidae.
CAAAUACCAGAGACUGACUCUUCAGC